AUACAUGCAAGUCGAGCGAACAGAUAAGGAGCUUGCUCCUUUGACGUUAGCGGCGGACGGGUGAGUAACACGUGGGUAACCUACCUAUAAGACUGGAAUAACUUCGGGAAACCGAAGCUAAUGCCGGAUAACAUGUAGAACCGCAUGGUUCUACAGUGAAAGAUGGCUUUGCUAUCACUUAUAGAUGGACCCGCGCCGUAUUAGCUAGUUGGUAAGGUAACGGCUUACCAAGGCAACGAUACGUAGCCGACCUGAGAGGGUGAUCGGCCACACUGGAACUGAGACACGGUCCAGACUCCUACGGGAGGCAGCAGUAGGGAAUCUUCCGCAAUGGGCGAAAGCCUGACGGAGCAACGCCGCGUGAGUGAUGAAGGUCUUCGGAUCGUAAAGCUCUGUUAUUAGGGAAGAACAAGUGCGUAAGUAACUGUGCGCACCUUGACGGUACCUAAUCAGAAAGCCACGGCUAACUACGUGCCAGCAGCCGCGGUAAUACGUAGGUGGCAAGCGUUAUCCGGAAUUAUUGGGCGUAAAGCGCGCGUAGGCGGUUUCUUAAGUCUGAUGUGAAAGCCCACGGCUCAACCGUGGAGGGUCAUUGGAAACUGGGAGACUUGAGUGCAGAA
This 620-nucleotide ribosomal RNA is filed under the name Staphylococcus kloosii. RNAcentral describes it as "bacterial SSU rRNA". It matches the Rfam family "Bacterial small subunit ribosomal RNA", at positions 51 to 653 of the family's 1533-position model. Lineage: Bacteria; Bacillati; Bacillota; Bacilli; Caryophanales; Staphylococcaceae. The record is from RNAcentral.